This 402-nucleotide ribosomal RNA is filed under the name uncultured bacterium. RNAcentral's name for it is "bacterial SSU rRNA". It matches the Rfam family "Bacterial small subunit ribosomal RNA", at positions 356 to 773 of the family's 1533-position model. The record is from RNAcentral.
GGGGAAUAUUGCGCAAUGGGGGAAACCCUGACGCAGCAACGCCGCGUGAGUGAAGAAGGUUUUCGGAUCGUAAAACUCUGUCUUAAGGGAUGAACAAAUGACAGUACCUUAAGAGGAAGCCCCGGCUAACUACGUGCCAGCAGCCGCGGUAAUACGUAGGGGGCAAGCGUUGUCCGGAAUUACUGGGCGUAAAGGGCGUGUAGGCGGCACUUUAAGUCAGAUGUGAAAGUCCACGGCUCAACCGUGGAAUUGCAUUUGAAACUGGAGAGCUUGAGUGCAGGAGAGGAGAGCGGAAUUCCUAGUGUAGCGGUGAAAUGCGUAGAUAUUAGGAAGAACACCAGUGGCGAAGGCGGCUCUCUGGACUGUAACUGACGCUGAGGCGCGAAAGCGUGGGUAGCGAAC